This is an RNA transcript of Leucoraja erinaceus (little skate), 3937 nucleotides long. It is a transcript of the gene named RNA binding motif, single stranded interacting protein 1a, with no coding region annotated. The record is from RefSeq and is a predicted model, not a curated record. Lineage: Eukaryota; Metazoa; Chordata; Chondrichthyes; Rajiformes; Rajidae. The transcript has 15 exons.
UGUGGUUGUACAGACUCCUCCCAAUACUCAGGCCUACUGAUCUGCCAGGGACUGUCCGUGUACAGCAGUGAGUUAUGUGGCGUUCCCCCUACAAAUUGGCCGGCUUGUAGACUCGCUGUUCGAGCUUCGCUUCCUGUGGAACAUAAUCUCCCCUGUGCGGCUUGUUGGUGUGACACCCAAGCUCGGUAAAAGAUGCUGCUGUCUGUGCCACCGAUGGGAUAUGGCCCUCGCACACACCGUCUACAGCAAGCUAAAAAGACUUCCUGUGUACCCACCUCGCAUCCAAUGGCCCCUCCUAGUCCCCUCACGAGCAGCAACAACAGCAGUGGCAGCAGUAACGCAGGGUGGGAACAGCUUAGUAAGACGAACCUUUACAUCAGAGGACUGCCACCAGGCACCACUGACCAAGAUCUGGUGAAACUCUGCCAGCCGUAUGGCAAAAUAGUAUCAACGAAAGCCAUUCUGGACAAGACAACUAAUAAAUGCAAAGGUUAUGGCUUUGUGGACUUUGACAGUCCGACUGCAGCUCAGAAGGCAGUGGCUGCCUUAAAGGGCAACGGUAUCCAAGCCCAGAUGGCAAAGCAACAAGAACAGGACCCCACAAACUUGUACAUCUCCAAUCUGCCACCAUCCAUGGAUGAACAAGAACUGGAGAACAUGCUAAAGCCAUACGGACAAGUAAUCUCCACAAGGAUAUUGCGGGAUUCCAACGGAACAAGUCGUGGAGUUGGCUUUGCAAGGAUGGAAUCGACAGAGAAAUGUGAGACAGUCAUAGCACAUUUUAAUGGAAAAUUUAUUAAGACCAUUCCUGGAGUCCCUGCUCCCAUAGAACCAUUACUCUGCAAGUUUGCAGAUGGUGGUCAGAAAAAGCGGCAAAAUCAAAACAAAUUUGUGCAAAAUGGCCGGGCUUGGCAUCGAGAGGGAGAGGUGAGACUUGCUGGCAUGACCCUCGCAUAUGAUCCUGGAGCUUUGCAGAAUGGAUUUUAUUCGGCACCUUACAGUAUUGCAGCAAAUCGAAUGAUUGCACAGACAUCACUUGCACCGUACAUUGCAUCUCCUGUUUCAACCUAUCAGGUGCAGAAUACAUCAUGGAUGCCUCACCAACCUUACCUAAUGCAACACGCUGGCGCAGUAAUGUCUCCAUCCAUGGAACACCCCAUGUCAAUGCAACCUACAUCAAUGAUGAGCCCACUGACACAACAAAUGAGUCAUCUUUCAAUGAACAACACAGGAACGUACAUUCCGACUGCCACGGCCAUGCAGGGAGCAUACAUUCCCCAGUAUGCGCAUGUGCCAACAGCCACUGUUCCCAUGGAGGAGCCCAGCGGUCAACAGCAGCAGCAAGUUUCUGUGGAUUCUUCAUCUGAACACUCUCCCUACUCCUAUCAGCAAAGCAAGUAAUCCUCAGAUCUACAGGAUCGGCCCUCUCCCUGGUGGGCGGAGAACACAUAAGGACUGAAACAAUCAUGGCUUCUGAUCUAAUAUUCUCUAACAAUUGUCAACUUUUGCACAGAUUCUAAGAAAGAAAUAUUUGUAAUAAAAUCAACUGAAACAAAUAUUUUGGUAUAAGUUCUGUCAAGUAUAUAUAAAUGCUAACAUUCAUAAAGAGGUAAAUAAACCUCUAGGAAAUAUCUUUAUUUUGGUAAAAAGAGAGAGGUUAUUUUUAAGAUUUUUUUUCUCAAACCUUUGACAUAUAUAUUCAUGGAUUGAUGGAGUGAAAUUUAUUGUUCAAGUUGCAGGUCAGGUUGGUCUUCGAAGACUAACAACUUCUGCUUCGAUUUAUCUUCUGUAUUAUAUGCUAGGAAAUUUCUGAAGUGUCACAAGUGACCAGAUCACCUUUCCACUGAUGUUCUACGCUUGCUGUGUGAGUGUUGUGAAGUGAUAUUUUUAAUAAGUCUUUUUGUUUGUUAAUGUCUACUUCAUUAGAAGUGGAUAGAUGUCAUCAGGAUUUUAUUUUUCUUCAAAUUGCAAUCUGCCUUAAAUCUCUUGUUUCAUUAGAUGUUUUGAAGUGUUUUAAAGAUAUAAUGAUUUAGUCAUAGAAAGUAGCUCAACAAUGUCUUGCAUUGUUAGAUUUUUUGUAGCAUUAAAAUUUGAUUCGUUGUGGAUCACACCUUUUUUAUUGUAGAUGAUUUUAAUUGUUUUUUUCUUAACUAAGUAGAAAUGAUAGGAAGAAAGGAGUGUUUUUUUCUGAAUUUAAUGAAAUUUUAAGGUGGUUGGGUUAUAAUAUAGAUGAGCUGAGAAUUCUGCUAUAUAGAAAAAAUAAAACCAAUCCUUUGACUUUUCAGGUUAAAUCGAUGUUCUAUUAGAGUAGACAGAGGGGUAAAAGUCGGUGGGCUUAUCAUGACAAUUUUUAUACUCCGCUUUAGCAAGUUUUGAGACUGCUAGAGCUUAAAUGAUUUAUGAUUUCUCACAAGUUAGUAGUGAGGUAGCAAAUGAUUUAUUAUUACAGCAAAUAAAAAAGCUAAAGUAGAAAAUAAAUUGAGAGAUGAGCAAAACUUUGGGUACUAGCUCUCUGAUAAUUUUUUUUGUUUUUAACUUGGCACUUUUAACAUUACCAAAGAAUUUUGAGCUAGCAACUCGACAAAUGGAGAGGAAAAAAAAUUCUCUCAGCUUAGAAUUUCUUCAAUUCUCUUUUUAUGUUAUUUUGUGCCGGACCAGUUCGAUGUGCCUUUUUACAUGCAUUUACAUUUAAUUCUGUGUAAAUGUAGGGACACAAAAAAAAGCAUGAAGGAACGUUUUCAUCCAAGCAGUGCCACACUUUAUAUAUUUUUUAUUUCCAUUGUUGUCACUACAUGUGCUAGAUAUAAUAAGAAUGAUUUUGAAGCUAUGAAAUCUAAGAACUUAUUGCAGCUUUAUCUGGUUAGACUCUGUUUCAUUAGACAUUGUAUCAAGUAAAGUUUGCCUUAUUCACAACAUGUAUUUUAAAGCUAAACAGGUCAUCCUCCAGUGACUGUGCAUUUGGUCAGCUCUUGAUCAGUUAUCUACCUCAGGUUUUGUUUUUUGUUGUGCUUGGCCAAAUCAUUGGCCUGCCUGUCUCAAUAGACCAAAUCACUCUAGCUCAGGAGUUAGCAGUGAAUGUUUUAUGCUCAUGUGUUUAUUUUUCAGAAUUAUUGUAAUAUAUUAAGUUCUCAUCAGUGUAUUUCAUAGUUUCAAAAUAUUUGUUGCUUUGGAGAUUUUUUUUAAAUUAGUUUUUAGAUUCUCAACACAUGUAAUCUUUUUUUAAAAAGCAAGACAAUUGUGGUAUUACCUGUAGAAACAAAGAACUGCAGAUGCUUGUUAACACACAAAAGGACACAAAAUGCGGCCUGACCCACUGAAUUACUCCAGCACUUUGUGCCCUUUGGUGGUGUUACCUGAUUAGUGCUCCUUAAAGACUUUCUCUGGUGUGUACAAGUCUCAGCAUAUUGCAGCAUUCCUGCCUACUUGGAUGAUAGCCAGAAUCAGAGUUACAGAUAAUUGCCGGAUUACUAUGAAUUGUUUAAUUCCGAAAUCUGAGAGGUCUAUAACUGCGUGGAAUUGGCUGCUUUUGGUAUCUGACUUAAGUGCCAAACUUAUUAUCUGGAUAUGAUUUGGAAAAAAAAACCUCUGUACAUAAAGAAAUAAUCAGUUACUAAAGGCUCGCCUAGUAGACAACCAUUAAAUUAUAAAGAAAUUUAAUUUAUGAAGACCUUUUGUACAGAUUGUUUGAAAUUUUUCAUAGAGAUGUCUAUAUGAUCAAGAGAGUUAAUUUUUUUUAAUUGUUUUACUCAUGCCACAAACUUGCCAGUGGUUACCUAUUUGUCCGGUUCCAAAAGACUCGUUCUGUAGCUUUGUUUCCUAAGUUGUUUAAGCCAAGAAAACAUAUUUGAACUGUAAAUUAAUUUUAGAUGGUUCCUUAGUAUUUCUGUGCAUUUUCUUUUGGAAAACUUUUGAAUAAAAAAAGACCAAUUUAAAAUAA